This 84-nucleotide transfer RNA is filed under the name Minisyncoccota bacterium. Its description in RNAcentral is "tRNA-Leu". It matches the Rfam family "tRNA". Rfam says of the family: Transfer RNA (tRNA) molecules are approximately 80 nucleotides in length. Their secondary structure includes four short double-helical elements and three loops (D, anti-codon, and T loops). Lineage: Bacteria; Bacillati; Minisyncoccota. The record is from RNAcentral.
GCCGGGGUGGUGAAAUUGGUAGACACAUCAGCCUUAGGAGCUGAGGCCAGCAAUGGUAUGGAGGUUCGAGUCCUCUCCCCGGCA